GUCUUCCUGACUACAAGGCCUGUGGUCUAUCUCUUGUGUCACCUAGCUGUCCAAGAGAUUGAUAUGAAAGUCCUAAAAGCUAAAGUAAUCUUAGAGCAACAUUCAGAGAGACAGAAUUCAAGACUAAGAAAAUGACAGCAUAUAUGUGUUUUGCAUUUGUUCUGGACACAAGUAUAUUACGAAGUUGGAGAACAUCCACUCAAGGGUAGGCAAGAUGGUAGCUCUUGUCUUGAGAUCACACUUUAAGAUGAUCAUUUGAAUGGGCUGGGAAUGGUUAGCUUGGAGAAAAAAAGACUUAGUGGUGGUGGUCAGGGACAAUUGUGAUGAGAUAUUUUCUUAUUUCUGAUAUUCAAAAGGGAGACCAAAUUCCUUAAUAUCAUAAUCUAGUUUAUUACUGCAAAUCUCCUUUCUGAACUCUCCCCCUCCUCUCUCUUCUCUCCACUUCAAUUAGAUAAUAUUUACAAAGUUCUUAGCACAGUGCUGUGGCACAUAGUAGGUGUUAUCUAAUGCUCAUUCCCUUCCCCUUCCCUGCAAUGGGAAAUUUGUGUUGCUUAGCUCCAGAGGGCAGAAUCUGAUACACUGGAUAGAAGUCAUCAGGUAGGUUUAACCUUCAUAUCAGGAGAAGCUUUUUAUAAACCCCUAUUUUUUGUUUUAGUAACAAUUCUGGACUUCCUGGCUAAGAUGGCUGCAGCAUAGCAGGAAUGGCCUGAUUCUCCUCACAACCAAUUACUACAAAGUGUCUCAAAAGGACAAAAAUUAGAAUCAGAUGAGUGAAGGGGCUCUCCCACUGGAUGCAGCUUCGAAGAAAUGCUUUAUUGUGAGUUCAGCCUACCGGGCAUCCUUUCAUCCAUUAUCUAAAAAUGCCUACAUGAAAAGACAGCUGGCCUUUAGAGUAAGGCAGAAAGUAAGAGAAGGAUCUAUGGAAGAAGAGGGACUCGAACUGGGUCUUAAGGAAGAGGAUUUCAAUAACCAGAGAUGGAGAAGGAAUGAAUUUCAAGCAGGGAGGAAAUCUCCUUGCAUGAAUGUACAGAGGUUAGAAGAGGGCAGCAUUGAAAACAGCUUCCAUUCACUUCCCAAGAGAAGAAGUAUCAACUUAAACCAAGACCUUCAAGGUGGUGCUCAGGGGCCAAUGGAUAAUACAUUCAGAAUGUGAAGGAGUCAUACCAUCUCAAGCCCUCAUUUUCCAGAAGGAGAGACUGAGACCUAGAGAAGGUAAAUUACCAAGAUUAAAAUAAAUAGUGAGUGGCAGAGACA
This 1254-nucleotide long non-coding RNA is filed under the name Monodelphis domestica (gray short-tailed opossum). RNAcentral's name for it is "lncRNA (ENSMODG00000050703.1)". The record is from RNAcentral. Lineage: Eukaryota; Metazoa; Chordata; Mammalia; Didelphimorphia; Didelphidae.